AUUAGAAACUCUAAGAACAAAUCAGGUUUUCACAUAGAGUGCAGGACUUAGAAUAGAUCUAAGAAGACUUUUCAAAGAGUGGCAGUCAUUAAAUAUUAUAAUUGAUUUCCAAAUGAAGUUGUCAAAUCCUUUUCACAUGUCUUUGAAAAUAAGAUAGGGGUUUCAUCUGUUCAGGAUGCUUUAAUUGUCUCUACAUUAUGCCAAAACAUCUGCUAGUUUCAGUCAAUAGUAAAAACUCCGCACUGUCAAUUCAAAGAAUAAAAUCAGAUCAAUCAUUUUUUUGGCAUCAUGUAGCUCAAACAAACCUGCUGACUGACAUUUUUAUUUCUCUUCAAAUUAUUCUAGCUUAAUGUAAACUCAAAACUCUUAUAGUUCUAAGAGGGCUACAUUAACUAAGUAAAUUUUCUAAUGCUUUUCAACUAUACAUGCAUAAAAUUGUUUGUGUUCAUAAUUUAUGAAUAUAAAGUACUUGUAACCCUUAUAUAAUUUGAGUGAGGCAUGCUUUAAGUAUGCUUGGAAAAAGUUGAAAUGAGAAAAUGACAAUGUUGAUAUUUAAAUUAAAAUGUUAUUGCUAGAACUCAAGAAGUUGCAAUAAAAUUCAAAGGUAAGUAUAUUUUACAUAGUUUCCUAUAUACUCAUUAUAAAUAGCUAUAUGUAGGGGGAAAAAACGUUGGAAAGAAUAGCCGUAACACUAAUAUUAAGGAUAAUGAGGAAGAAAUUGCUUUUUUAAAAUUUCUAGCUAAAAUAACAGCUUGGCUGAUGCUUGAUGAAUACCUAUUGGAUAGAAUAAUUGGCUGGUUGCUUUAUAUGUUGAGACACUGAUCUGAGAUGUGGUAAAUAGUGGUAUAAUUCAUCUGUCAAUUCAGUAUGCUAAAAACAAUUCCUUUUUUUUUAGUUUUUAGAGAUAUUGUGCUAUUUUUCCU
RNAcentral lists this long non-coding RNA (923 nucleotides) under Marmota monax (woodchuck). Lineage: Eukaryota; Metazoa; Chordata; Mammalia; Rodentia; Sciuridae. The record is from RNAcentral.